CACGUAGUUAGCCGGUGCUUAUUCUUCAGGUACCAUCAUUAGCGAAGGAUAUUAGCCUCCACCGUUUCUUCCCUGACAAAAGAGCUUUACAACCCGAAGGCCUUCUUCACUCACGCGGCAUUGCUGGAUCAGGCUUGCGCCCAUUGUCCAAAAUUCCCCACUGCUGCCUCCCGUAGGAGUCUGGACCGUGUCUCAGUUCCAGUGUGGCUGGUCGUCCUCUCAGACCAGCUACUGAUCGUGGCCUUGGUGAGCCUUUACCUCACCAACUAGCUAAUCAGAUAUCGGCCGCUCCAGGAGCACAAGGCCCGAAGGUCCCCUGCUUUCAUCCUUGGAUCGUAUGCGGUAUUAGCGUAACUUUCGCUACGUUACUCCCCCACUCUUGGGUACGUUCCGAUAUAUUACUCACCCGUUCGCCACUCGCCGCCAGGUUCGCCCCGCGCUCGCCGUUCGACUUGCAUGUGUAAGCAUGCCGCAGCGUUCAUCUGA
This 486-nucleotide ribosomal RNA is filed under the name uncultured Massilia sp. RNAcentral's name for it is "partial 16S ribosomal RNA". The record is from RNAcentral. Lineage: Bacteria; Pseudomonadati; Pseudomonadota; Betaproteobacteria; Burkholderiales; Oxalobacteraceae.